CCUUAACAGAGACUUCUCCUCUGAGACCAGCAAAGCUCAGCUCUGCUUGUUGUUGAAUCUCCUUGCUCUCAAUGAUUUCUAAAAUGGCGACGAUGAGCUGCUCAAUUGUGAUUUUCCUUGACUUGAAGAGUUUGAAAAACUCCUGUCUUUUGUCCUCCGUCACAUACUCUGAAUUAAUAAGAUCCCACAUUGUUGUGUGUUUGCCCUUGAACCUGCCAUACUUAACAGUAACUGUGGUUGUUUUCAACGUUUCCUUAAUAUUAUCAUCAAUGUUAACUCUGCUGCUUUUGCCUUUGAGUGGCAAGAGGCACAGCCCUGUGGCGGGGUCUCUGACACAUCUGGCCAUGAGCUGCAAGUAUGUCAGGUUCUCACGGGUGUUGGGAUCAAAGAAUCCUUUGGUGUCAUCACUUGCAUCACUCAGGAUCUCAUUCAUUUCCUCAUCAAAGUAUCCCUUCUUAUAGGCCACGUGUACAGGAAUGCGAUGGCUGUUUACUGGAUCAAUAAUACCACCAGUGGCAAUCUGUGCCUCCAGAAGUCGAAUUCCAUGGUCUUUUAGGAUGAGAUCCUUUUGCAUGGCUUGGAACAAGGAUAUGAUUUGGCCAUCAUAUGGAUUUCUGUACCCGAUGACCGCUUUCUCUGCUGAGCGCAACUUUUGACACACAUCGGGACCCACUAUCUUUGCUUUGACUGCAUCAUCCACUGAAUACUUCUGAUUUCCAACAGGGUCGAUUAUGAAACCUGUUGCUGCCUGUGCCUCUAGUAGAAUCAGAGCCGUUCCUGGCAUCAGCUUCCCUUUUUGUUUGGCCUGGUAGAUGGUCAUGAUCCGAGAAUCAGGAAGCAGAAUUCCUGCAAUGCUGUCUUUCCCCUGUAGGUACACAUUUACAUUUUCAUCUUCUAUCACUUCCUUCACUGAUAUUUUUCCCUUUUCCAGAUUUUCCAUAACCUCCUUACUAAUGAUGUCGGCUUCCACCAGUUGUUUGGCUGUGACUGUUUCUCUGAUGCCUUCAAAGACAACAUUGGUUGUUUUCACUGACUUUUCUAUGACUUCCAGAACCAUAGUGAUAAUUAUCUUGAUAUUGAACUUCCCCUCUCUGUAGUUCUGAAUGAACUCUCGCCUCUGGCAUUCAUCAAAGUAUUCUGACAUCAGGAGUUCCCACAGGGAUACUGUCAUUCCCGUGUACUUUCCACAUGUCACGUUCACCUUCUCCUUUUUGAAGGUCAUUUUAGUUUGCCAGUCAAUGAAGUUGAAAUUCUGCUCGUUGGAUUUCCCAAAGAGUGGGAGGAGACACAGUCCAGUGCUGGGAUCAAUGACGCACCUUUGCAUCAGCUGAAGGAUCAAUCAUGAAUCCAGUUGAAGCUUGCGCCUCCAGUAGAAUCAGGGCUGUUCCUGGCAUCAGUACACCUUUUCUCAUGGCUUCAUAAAUGCUCAUUCUCUGAUUGGAUGAGAGUAGAGCAAUGCCUGCAAUACUUCCUUUGCCUUGCAGGUAGUCUUUUACUGUUUCCAUCAACAUCACAUCCUGUGUAGUGGUAUUUCCCUUCUGUAGGUCAUCAAAUGUUUUCAUGUCAAUGAUCUUUGAUUCAAGGAGCUGAUUGGAGGAAAUCCCUUUUCGCAAGCCUUUGAACGUGACGGAAACAGGAAGGAGCCGCAGGCCUGUGUCAGACUCCAAAGUGCAUUUCUCAAGGAGGUUUCGGUAGUUGAGAUGUUUUUGUAGGCUUGGACUGUAGUACACUUUGAGCUCCGGCAUCUUGUCAUUGAGCAAACCCUUUUCAUAGAAGCCUUUUUCAAUCGCAGAUUCAACUGAAAUAUUUGAUUUCUCAAUGGGAUCAAACAGGCCUUUUGUGGUGAUCUGUGCUUCCAGAAGCCUCAAUCCAUACUCUCUGGGGACUAAAUCUUUUUGCACAGCUUGGUACAAGGAUAUCAUUUGGUCGGUGUAUGGGUCUACAUAGCCAUUAACAGCUUUCUCGGCUGUGAGGAGUUUCUCUUUCAUCUCCGGUCCAACUAUUCCCUCCGUAACAGCAUCAGCAACACGAAGGGUUCGAUUGUUUAUUGGGUCGACGAUGCCCACUGUGGCAGCUUGUGCCUCCAGCAGGGCCACUGCUGUUCCUGGCUGAAGAAGACGUUUCUUCAUUGCUUGAUAUAUGGUUGUCUGUUUUACAGACUCAUCAGACUCCGGUUCCUAGGAGACUGGGCGGAGGAGGAGUAGGAGGAAACAUCUUUGGAUUACAGACCUAAAGCAGUGAAGGUCACCAAAUGCUGGUAGAGCGAGGGAAUCGGCAGGAUUCGAGCAUCAAAGUGGGCAGUGCAGCUUGAGACCUCAGUAGAAUGGAGUCGUAAAAGGUGACAAACAUACAUGUUGCAGUAGAUGAAUUUGUCUUAUUGAUUGAAGACAUUUGAUAAUAUUCACAAAAUGAACCGUAGUCGUACAGCAAAGUAAAACUAGCUGUGAAAAGCUGUGAAACAUCACACACUAACAAGUGAAAUCGAGAAGCACUCGCAAAAUACACACGAUACCUUUCUGAUAUUUAGUCAUAUUUAGUGAUAUUUGGACCUUUAUUGAUCAGGGGAUCAGAAACACAAAUGAAUGCUAACGUUGCUUUGAGUGAUUAUCGAAAAUACAGCAAAUAUGUACUUGUAAGACUAGAGGGAAAAACAAUGUUUGAAAUAUGGCAAAUGUACUAUGCAAAGAAUUUAAAGACAAAUAUUAGACAAACAAGACAUAUUUUUGCGUUCGUACUGUUAAUCCCAGUGAACCGAUGUACUUCAGCACAGUGUUAGGAUGCUGUUUAAACAAUCUUCUACAGGCGUCUACAGGUUUUACCCGUUUACACAAGAGAAACAAGAGCUGUUUUUGAAGCCACACAGAUUGAACUUGUGCCGACCCACAUUCUGCAUGCUUCAUCUAAAUGAAUGUAUGGAUCAUUUUCGGCCUCACCUUUACAGCUCUCUUCAUCCGACAUGUAAAGACGUGUUCUGAUUGACGUUGCCGGGGAACCGUUUCAUUCUUUCACUUUUAAUAUUAACUUUUAACCAAACAUCUCUUGUGCAAUGUCAGCUGAACAUUGUACCUCUAUUAUCAGCUCCAGUUGUCAUUUUUGUUGUAAAAAACUACAUUUCUGGAAACUUGGAUAGAUGAACACGACUUGGACAACAGGUGUUUUUGCUCAAAAGAGAUUCCGAGAGACGCCACAUUACCUUACAUGAUUUUUCAAUUAAUACAAAUUUUAAAAGUAUGUUGCCAGUCUGAGAGCUUCGGGAUCAAAAUGUUAAUAUAAACAGUAUAUAUAGCAGAUUCGAAAAUGCACAUUAAGGCUGUUAAAUAUGAAUAUCC
Gasterosteus aculeatus aculeatus (three-spined stickleback) is the source of this 3329-nucleotide long non-coding RNA. NCBI's taxonomy places the organism in Eukaryota, Metazoa, Chordata, Actinopteri, Perciformes, Gasterosteidae. The record is from Ensembl.